This 289-nucleotide unclassified non-coding RNA is filed under the name Glomus sp. RNAcentral describes it as "partial contains 5.8S ribosomal RNA and internal transcribed spacer 2". The stretch from base 1 to 71 matches the Rfam family "5.8S ribosomal RNA", at positions 84 to 154 of the family's 154-position model. Lineage: Eukaryota; Fungi; Glomeromycota; Glomeromycetes; Glomerales; Glomeraceae. The record is from RNAcentral.
GUGAAUCAUCGAAUUUUUGAACGCAAAUUGCACUCUCUGGUAUUCCGGAGAGUAUGCCUGUUUGAGGGUCAUUUUAAAUAAAAAUCGUUGUGUGUGCUGCCUUUCGUGGUUACGCAUCGGAUUUAGGUCGUCUAGCUUUCUUGUAAGUGGCCUUAAAGUUUUCAUGAUUUUUUUCGUACGUAUUUAAAUGAUGUUACGUACGUUUUCGAUAUGGAUUACUAGGUGCUUUCAUUCUCAUGAGUAUCGGCUAUAAUUUUUAAUCAAAAUUACCUAAAAUCAGGUAAGUGUA